CCACUGCAACACAAUCAACAAUUAAAAGCAAUCUUAUGAAAGGUAAUAAUCUCUCUUAUGAUUUUUUUUUCUAUUUAAAGUUGAAAGUCCCAGGUCCUUUCCUUUUUUUUACUAAUAAAUGAGCUAUGGUUGACAGUUUAGCUUUGUUUUUUGUGUAGGCUAGGUCUAUGGGUGGGCCUGUAGGCGAAGCAGUCCACAAUUUACCACAUCAUCAUAAGUGCAUUGAAUAUUCAUAGAUCUAAACUCUUAUUUUCUUUUGUUUCCUAUUUUUGCUUUGGUCUUUUACUACUAUUAAGUAUCAAAGAGUUUUCCCUUUGCAACCAUAUUCAUGCUGUACCAAGUCAUUGGAACUGAUUCUUAAGGACGCAACUCUGUAGGAACAAAAUGGUGGCACUUCCAUUUUCCUUUUAAACAAAGAAAGCAGGCGAAAAUGGAAAAAGAAAUAAACUCUGGGUAGGAAAUUUUGGGAGAGGAAAAGAGGAAGAAAACCCAUCCCUGUUCACUUCUAUCUUUCUUUGAUUUUUACAUCUACUAGAAAAAAUCCACUUAACAUGCUAAAUUAAAUCAAGUGAGACCCUUAUAUAUUCAUGUGCAACUUUUUCAUUGGUCUAGAAACAACUA
RNAcentral lists this long non-coding RNA (621 nucleotides) under Coffea arabica (coffee). Its description in RNAcentral is "long non-coding RNA (CARA_LNC000445)". Lineage: Eukaryota; Viridiplantae; Streptophyta; Magnoliopsida; Gentianales; Rubiaceae. The record is from RNAcentral.